AAAUAGACACGAAAGAAGACAAUGGAAUUAAGUUUGAUGAACAGAAAGUUGUCGUUAACUUGUAACACACUGUGAUCGCGAACAACAUCAGAGAAAGAUUUAUUAAACACAGAAAUAAAACAUCAACACUGCCAUAUUGCCAUGCUAGUCAGUUCAAG
Long non-coding RNA from Actinia tenebrosa (Australian red waratah sea anemone), 158 nucleotides. The record is from RefSeq and is a predicted model, not a curated record. NCBI's taxonomy places the organism in Eukaryota, Metazoa, Cnidaria, Anthozoa, Actiniaria, Actiniidae.